AAUUACCCGAUUUUUUCAAACCAGUUUUCGUUUACUUUCUGGCAGAUUCGAAAAAUUGGCAUUUCACUGUGGAUUAUAUUUUGAUGGAGUGGCGUAUGAAUUGAAUUGUGUGUGCAGUGUGAACGUCCUUAUAAUAUACGCCUCAGCAAUUUUGUAAGAGCUCAAAGUCUUAUUUCAUGUCUCAGUCUUUUGAUUUAUUUUACGUUCUUACCCCAUACAUCUUGUUACUAAGAGAUUAAAGUUUAUACACAAAAGACUGACAAUUUAUUUUCAACUCGAGUCUUCAUCAUUGAGAUCGAGUACAGAUCUUUUUCUCAACGUUAGAGUGGCCGCAGGAAAAGACAAAAUUGAGAAUGAAAACCGCUGGACUCCUAUUAUUUCUGAGCGCUGUCGCUAGUGUGGCUACAAUUGGGGGGUCGAUCAGGUGCUAUGAAUGCUCAAGCCAGAGUGCAUGCGACGCAAUAGUUGAUCAAACUGAGCCUCAAGAAUGUAGCGAAGUGUAUGUUGCAGAGUCCCACCAAGUCGUACCCGAGUUUGAUCGAUGUUUGCGGAUCACAGACGUUGGUCCGACCCCAGCGUACAAGAGAGUCUGUGGCAAUCAGCGAAUCUACGACGAAUAUAUGGACGAUUGUGCUCUCCCGGAGUGUGCAGUGUUGGCUUGUUAUUCAGACAAGUGCGUUAUUUGAUCGUGUAGAAAUCAAUGGGAUUUAGACUCUGUGGUGUAAUUUCGGUUUCCUUUUCUCCCGGGGGAACUCUCAUACAAACAGGAUGGAGGUGCUCGUCGGAAAUGUUGAAAAGAACCGCUAAGAGGUACUAAGAUCCUGUUUUGUACGCGUGGCUUGAAAAUUUGUCACCCCUAAUAAGUACCAAUUCUAAAACAAUACAUUAUCUCCACUCAUAUUUUUUUGGCUCAAUACCCUAACAGGGCCUCUAAAGCUCCAGCUUUGGACCUUUUGAGGUUAAACACCCAGAGAGGUACCGAAACCGCUUUUUUAACCCUUUAAAGGUACGACGAGCUCGAGCACCCCUGUUCUUUUUAUACGGGAAUCCCGCGGGUCUUUUCCUUUUUUACUAUAGCUGUCGGUCUCAUUCUAAAUCAAUUGAAAGUUGAGGUUCUUUAAUCAAUUAACUGCUUCCAGUGGAGUUAAAAUCCGUAGCGUAAAUAACUUCCAUUUGAAAAUAUUAGCUGUUUAGGCCAGCUCAGAACCGAAAGGCUUUUAAGUCAGGGUCAAUUUUGAAGAAAAAAAUUAAAUCGAGAACUAUUGGUGUUUUACUAGAUAUAUAAUAUGUAAGGGAAAUGUUAAGUAAAUGCUGGGUAUGAGGAAAAACAGAGCUGUAAAUUUGUGUAAACUGUUUUCAUAUAGUGUUGGUAAGUUUUGUUUCUGUUAAUAAGUAUAAGUGAAGCAGGGUUUAAGAUAAAGAUGGCUGUUCCAAAAAGGUUCCCUUUAUCACUGUACAAUUGAGAAAAUCACUUCAUUAAGUUUGGCUGAGACCAGACACUUAUCUGCACUGCAGUGCAAAUAAACGCGCGCACGUUCGCAAUUUUCUCAGUCAUAUAAUAAAUGAGUAAUCUGUGUCGUUUGAAAGCCAAAGCAAUUCAGUAAGGAUUUAAACUACGCGUAAUAUUUGAAAAUUCUUUCAAAUUGCACUCACCUAAAGGCUCGUGCAA
Molecule: long non-coding RNA, 1669 nt
Organism: Orbicella faveolata
Lineage: Eukaryota; Metazoa; Cnidaria; Anthozoa; Scleractinia; Merulinidae
Source: RefSeq, a predicted model, not a curated record